UACAGAGGGGGCAAGCGUUAUUCGGAAUUAUUGGGCGUAAAGGGCGCGUAGGCGGCCAUUCAAGUGACGGGUGAAAGCCCUCGGCUUAACCGAGGAACUGCCUGUCAGACUGGAUGGCUUGAGACCGGGAGAGGUGAGUGGAAUUCCCAGUGUAGCGGUGAAAUGCGUAGAUAUUGGGAGGAACACCAGUGGCGAAGGCGGCUCACUGGACCGGAACUGACGCUGAGGCGCGAAA
Molecule: ribosomal RNA, 235 nt
Filed under: uncultured bacterium
Lineage: Bacteria
Description: partial 16S ribosomal RNA
Rfam family: Bacterial small subunit ribosomal RNA
Source: RNAcentral